Molecule: ribosomal RNA, 460 nt
Filed under: uncultured bacterium
Lineage: Bacteria
Description: partial 16S ribosomal RNA
Rfam family: Bacterial small subunit ribosomal RNA
Source: RNAcentral
CCUACGGGGGGCAGCAGUGAGGAAUAUUGGUCAAUGGACGAGAGUCUGAACCAGCCAAGUAGCGUGAAGGAUGACUGCCCUAUGGGUUGUAAACUUCUUUUAUAAAGGAAUAAAACGAGGCACGUGUGCCUUUUUGCAUGUACUUUAUGAAUAAGGAUCGGCUAACUCCGUGCCAGCAGCCGCGGUAAUACGGAGGAUCCGAGCGUUAUCCGGAUUUAUUGGGUUUAAAGGGAGCGUAGAUGGGUUGUUAAGUCAGUUGUGAAAUUUUGCGGCUCAACCGUAAAAUUGCAAUUGAUACUGGCAGUCUUGAGUACAGUUGAGGUAGGCGGAAUUCGUGGUGUAGCGGUGAAAUGCGUAGAUAUCACGAAGAACCCCGAUUGCGAAGGCAGCUUACUAAACUGUGACUGACAUUGAUGCUCGAAAGUGUGGGUAUCAAACAGGAUUAGAUACCCUGGUAGUC